This 260-nucleotide ribosomal RNA is filed under the name Ensifer fredii. Its description in RNAcentral is "Sinorhizobium fredii partial 16S ribosomal RNA". It matches the Rfam family "Bacterial small subunit ribosomal RNA", at positions 46 to 334 of the family's 1533-position model. Lineage: Bacteria; Pseudomonadati; Pseudomonadota; Alphaproteobacteria; Hyphomicrobiales; Rhizobiaceae. The record is from RNAcentral. RNAcentral also lists the same sequence under 1 other name.
AGGCUUAACACAUGCAAGUCGAGCGCCCCGCAAGGGGAGCGGCAGACGGGUGAGUAACGCGUGGGAAUCUACCCUUUUCUACGGAAUAACGCAGGGAAACUUGUGCUAAUACCGUAUGAGCCCUUCGGGGGAAAGAUUUAUCGGGAAAGGAUGAGCCCGCGUUGGAUUAGCUAGUUGGUGGGGUAAAGGCCUACCAAGGCGACGAUCCAUAGCUGGUCUGAGAGGAUGAUCAGCCACAUUGGGACUGAGACACGGCCCAA